Molecule: unclassified non-coding RNA, 494 nt
Filed under: Hevea brasiliensis (rubber tree)
Lineage: Eukaryota; Viridiplantae; Streptophyta; Magnoliopsida; Malpighiales; Euphorbiaceae
Source: RNAcentral
GGAAAAAAAAAAGGAAAAAGCAAAGAAAAUGGGUAACUUAAUUGUUGUCAAUAUAUUUAUUUAAUUCCGUAUUUUGUUAUAUUCUUAUGGAACUAUCAUGUAACCUGAAAUAUGUAACCUGAAAUGUAUCCUAGAGAUUUGAUUAAUAAGAUAUGCAAACUUUGUGCUACAAAAAGAAAAAGCACCACAAACAUUGUUUCCUCUACAUGAUGGCCAACAAAACAAGAGGAUGCACUUUUAUUUGAGCUAAUUCAGAGGUUAUUUACCUCAUAUUUGUAUUCUUUCUUUACGCAGUUGGACCAGCCACAUUAAAGUUAACAUCAGAUGUAGCAGAUAUUAUGAUGUUAUCAUUUUUUCAUAUGCUAUUUUCUUUCAUAUAUUAUUUUGCAUCUAAAAGUUUUCCCCUCAAAUGAAAAGUGCAUAGAUUUAUUUAGAUUUUAAACUCCUUGAAAUUCUUCAUAUUGCUUUUACUAUGAGCAAUCAUACUCUUGAAG